Molecule: unclassified non-coding RNA, 355 nt
Filed under: soil metagenome
Description: partial contains 5.8S ribosomal RNA, internal transcribed spacer 2, and large subunit ribosomal RNA
Rfam family: 5.8S ribosomal RNA (bases 1-120)
Source: RNAcentral
GAUGAAGAACGCAGCGAAAUGCGAUAAGUAAUGUGAAUUGCAGAAUUCAGUGAAUCAUCGAAUCUUUGAACGCACAUUGCGCCCGCCGGUAUUCCGGCGGGCAUGCCUGUCCGAGCGUCAUUUCACCACUCAAGCCCGGCUUGGUGUUGGGGCGCCCGGCCGCCUGGCGGUCGGGGCCCCCAAGUACAUCGGCGGGCCUGCUGGGGCUCCGAGCGCAGUAACUCGCGGUAAAACGCGCCCUCGCUCGGCGGCCUCUUCGGGCUUCCAGCCGCUAAACCCCCAGUGACGUUUUUCGAGUUGACCUCGGAUCAGGUAGGAAUACCCGCUGAACUUAAGCAUAUCAAUAAGCGGAGGA